RNAcentral lists this ribosomal RNA (2165 nucleotides) under Bacillus sp. FJAT-49711. RNAcentral describes it as "Bacterial large subunit ribosomal RNA". It matches the Rfam family "Bacterial large subunit ribosomal RNA", at positions 766 to 2925 of the family's 2925-position model. Lineage: Bacteria; Bacillati; Bacillota; Bacilli; Caryophanales; Bacillaceae. The record is from Rfam by way of RNAcentral.
CUGGAGGCCCGAACCCACGUACGUUGAAAAGUGCGGGGAUGAGGUGUGGGUAGCGGUGAAAUUCCAAUCGAACCUGGAGAUAGCUGGUUCUCUCCGAAAUAGCUUUAGGGCUAGCCUCAAGGAGAAGAGUCUUGGAGGUAGAGCACUGUUUGGACUAGGGGCCCUCAUCGGGUUACCGAAUUCAGACAAACUCCGAAUGCCAAUGACUUAUCCUUGGGAGUCAGACUGCGAGUGAUAAGAUCCGUAGUCAAGAGGGAAACAGCCCAGACCGCCAGCUAAGGUCCCCAAGUAUCCGUUAAGUGGAAAAGGAUGUGGAGUUGCUUAGACAACCAGGAUGUUGGCUUAGAAGCAGCCACCAUUUAAAGAGUGCGUAAUAGCUCACUGGUCGAGUGAUUCUGCGCCGAAAAUGUACCGGGGCUAAACGGAUCACCGAAGCUGCGGAUUGACAUCUUUGAUGUCAGUGGUAGGAGAGCGUUCUAAGGGCGGUGAAGCAAGACCGGAAGGACUUGUGGAGCGCUUAGAAGUGAGAAUGCCGGUAUGAGUAGCGAAAGAAGGGUGAGAAUCCCUUCCACCGAAUGCCUAAGGUUUCCUGAGGAAGGCUCGUCCGCUCAGGGUCAGUCGGGGCCUAAGCCGAGGCCGAAAGGCGUAGGCGAUGGACAACAGGUUGAUAUUCCUGUACCACCUUUUUACCAUUUGAGCAAUGGGGGGACGCAGGAGGAUAGGGUAAGCGCGCUGUUGGAUAUGCGCGUCCAAGCAGUUAGGCUGGGGUGGAGGCAAAUCCUUCAUCCUAAAGCGGAGCUGUGAUGGCGAGGGAAAUGUAGUACCGAAGUUCCUGAUUCCACACUGCCAAGAAAAGCCUCUAGCGAGGUAAAAGGUGCCCGUACCGCAAACCGACACAGGUAGGCGAGGAGAGAAUCCUAAGGUGAUCGAGAGAACUCUCGUUAAGGAACUCGGCAAAAUGACCCCGUAACUUCGGGAGAAGGGGUGCUCCUAGGGGUGAAUAGCCCUAGGGAGCCGCAGUGAAUAGGCCCAGGCGACUGUUUAGCAAAAACACAGGUCUCUGCGAAGCCGCAAGGCGAAGUAUAGGGGCUGACGCCUGCCCGGUGCUGGAAGGUUAAGAGGAGCGCUUAGGUGCAAACCGAAGGUGCGAAUUGAAGCCCCAGUAAACGGCGGCCGUAACUAUAACGGUCCUAAGGUAGCGAAAUUCCUUGUCGGGUAAGUUCCGACCCGCACGAAAGGCGCAACGAUCUGGGCACUGUCUCAACGAGAGACUCGGUGAAAUUAUAGUACCUGUGAAGAUGCAGGUUACCCGCGACAGGACGGAAAGACCCCGUGGAGCUUUACUGCAGCCUGAUAUUGAAUGUUGGUGCAGCUUGUACAGGAUAGGUAGGAGCCUUGGAAACCGGAGCGCCAGCUUCGGUGGAGGCAUCGGUGGGAUACUACCCUUGCUGUACUGACCUUCUAACCCGCACCCGUAAUCCGGGUGGGAGACAGUGUCUGGCAGGCAGUUUGACUGGGGCGGUCGCCUCCUAAAGAGUAACGGAGGCGCCCAAAGGUUCCCUCAGAAUGGUUGGAAAUCAUUCGUAGAGUGUAAAGGCACAAGGGAGCUUGACUGCGAGACCUACAAGUCGAGCAGGGACGAAAGUCGGGCUUAGUGAUCCGGUGGUUCCGCAUGGAAGGGCCAUCGCUCAACGGAUAAAAGCUACCCCGGGGAUAACAGGCUUAUCUCCCCCAAGAGUUCACAUCGACGGGGAGGUUUGGCACCUCGAUGUCGGCUCAUCGCAUCCUGGGGCUGUAGUCGGUCCCAAGGGUUGGGCUGUUCGCCCAUUAAAGCGGUACGCGAGCUGGGUUCAGAACGUCGUGAGACAGUUCGGUCCCUAUCCGUCGCGGGCGCAGGAAAUUUGAGAGGAGCUGUCCUUAGUACGAGAGGACCGGGAUGGACGCACCGCUGGUGUACCAGUUGUCUUGCCAAAGGCAUCGCUGGGUAGCUAUGUGCGGACGGGAUAAGUGCUGAAAGCAUCUAAGCAUGAAGCCCCCCUCAAGAUGAGAUUUCCCAUCGCGCAAGCGAGUAAGAUCCCUGAAAGAUGAUCAGGUUGAUAGGUCCGGUGUGGAAGUGUGGCGACACAUGGAGCUGACGGAUACUAAUCGAUCGAGGACUUAAUCUA